UUUUGUAAAAGGCAAAAUAAAUGAAAAUUUAUGACGCAAAGCCAAGGUCUAAGAGCUAUAUGCUUAUGAUAGCUAGGUUGCACAA
RNAcentral lists this non-coding RNA (85 nucleotides) under unclassified sequences. RNAcentral's name for it is "Mouse gut c-di-GMP sequence". It matches the Rfam family "c-di-GMP-I riboswitch aptamer". Rfam says of the family: GEMM was predicted in a large-scale screen for bacterial structured RNA regulatory elements. The record is from RNAcentral. RNAcentral also lists the same sequence under 1 other name.